RNAcentral lists this ribosomal RNA (207 nucleotides) under uncultured bacterium. Its description in RNAcentral is "partial 16S ribosomal RNA". It matches the Rfam family "Bacterial small subunit ribosomal RNA", at positions 568 to 774 of the family's 1533-position model. The record is from RNAcentral.
CAUGUAGGCGGAUUGAUAAGUUUGAAGUGAAAUCCUAUAGCUUAACUAUAGAACUGCUUUGAAAACUGUUAAUCUAGAAUGUGGGAGAGGUAGAUGGAAUUUCUGGUGUAGGGGUAAAAUCCGUAGAGAUCAGAAGGAAUACCGAUUGCGAAGGCGAUCUACUGGAACAUUACUGACGCUGAGGCACGAAAGCGUGGGGAGCAAACA